UUGUAUCUGAAGCCUGACGAGGAUGAGAACCUCCGGGGGCAAGAGGUUCGACCCGAGCGAAGCGAGAGAACGUAGCGUCACCAACGGCCCGCAGGGCGAGCCACGCAGUGGCGAGUCAUCCACUAACACCGACAA
RNAcentral lists this small RNA (135 nucleotides) under Salmonella enterica subsp. enterica serovar Oslo. RNAcentral's name for it is "RtT sRNA". It matches the Rfam family "RtT RNA". From Rfam's summary of the family: This family represents a bacterial cis-regulatory element known as RtT RNA. The exact function of RtT is unknown although it is thought that it may be involved in changing the cellular response in relation to amino acid starvation. Lineage: Bacteria; Pseudomonadati; Pseudomonadota; Gammaproteobacteria; Enterobacterales; Enterobacteriaceae. The record is from RNAcentral.